GUAGGCGAACCUGCGGAGGGAUCAUUACCGAGUGAGGGCGCUCGCCGCCCGACCUCCCAACCCUUUGAUUUGAUCAAGACCUCCUUCUGCCUCGGGGGCGACCCGGACCUCGCGGUCCGCCGGUCCCCCCGGUGGUCACCAACCAAAACUCUGCAUCAAUUGUCGUCUGAGCGUAUUGAGAAAUCAAUCAAAACUUUCAACAACGGAUCUCUUGGUUCUGGCAUCGAUGAAGAACGCAGCAUCUGACUGA
This 250-nucleotide unclassified non-coding RNA is filed under the name plant metagenome. RNAcentral's name for it is "partial contains small subunit ribosomal RNA, internal transcribed spacer 1, and 5.8S ribosomal RNA". The record is from RNAcentral.